UUAGAAUUUCGAGUUCUCACCUUCAAUAUCAACCAAAAAUUCUUUCGCGUUUUCUUUGAGAAUAUCUACGAUUUUCUGAUCUGAGAGGUUGCCAACUUUUGAAAUAUCCCAUUUUCUUUAAAAACUCACAAUAAAGUUUGCAAUAUUACCGCUAAAUAAUAAAAAUUCAGGAGCCUUAAGCCCAAUUCGAAGCCAAAAGCGGUAUGAGCUGGUAUUUAAAGCAUAAUUUGGCAACUACGGCUAGUAUAAGCAUAGCUUUCGUUCAUCACUGUUGCUGUUUAAAGGCGUGAAAAUUCCAUGAAUGAAAAGUUGAUUUAUUCGUACUUAAUAUUACCUUGCAACAAAAAUGGUAACUAAUUUCCAACGGGCACUACCUAUCUGAUAUUUUGAUGUAAACGGAAACCUUACAGAACAACUCCACACAACAUGGAUAAAAUCUCGUAUAUUUUGCUCGUUGAGCAAGCCUAUGAUCUUGUGGCUUAAUUUGGCAGCACUGCGACUUCGUGGGUCUGAACAGAUGACAACUAAACUAACCUCAAAUUAAAAUCCCGCAGAAAUAAUUGGCAAAAACAGGGCGUUAUUCGUGAUAACAAUUAUUAAGAAAGUUUUACUUUUAUUUAAGAAAUUUUAAUUUUAAAAAAGCUUUACUUUUAUUUAAAUGAAAAUAAAUUUUAUGUAUAUAAUUAGCCCAGGAAAAGAAGUAAGAUUUAAGUUGGUUAAAACAUGUAAUUGUUUUGAAAUAUAUGUAUAUGCAUAUGCAAGUUAAUAUAUGAAGGGGAUUAAUUUAAGAUAUUCUAAAACUAAUGCUAUUUAU
This is a long non-coding RNA of Bactrocera dorsalis (oriental fruit fly), 814 nucleotides long. RefSeq lists it as uncharacterized. The transcript is spliced from 3 exons. NCBI's taxonomy places the organism in Eukaryota, Metazoa, Arthropoda, Insecta, Diptera, Tephritidae. The record is from RefSeq and is a predicted model, not a curated record.